RNAcentral lists this ribosomal RNA (468 nucleotides) under uncultured bacterium. RNAcentral's name for it is "partial 16S ribosomal RNA". It matches the Rfam family "Bacterial small subunit ribosomal RNA", at positions 28 to 507 of the family's 1533-position model. The record is from RNAcentral.
GACGAACGCUGGCGGCGUGCUUAACACAUGCAAGUCGAACGGAAAGGCCCUGCUUUUGUGGGGUGCUCGAGUGGCGAACGGGUGAGUAACACGUGAGUAACCUGCCCUUGACUUUGGGAUAACUUCAGGAAACUGGGGCUAAUACCGGAUAGGAGCUCCUGCUGCAUGGUGGGGGUUGGAAAGUUUCGGCGGUUGGGGAUGGACUCGCGGCUUAUCAGCUUGUUGGUGGGGUAGUGGUUUACCAAGGCUUUGACGGGUAGCCGGCCUGAGGGGGUGACCGGCCCCAUUGGGACUGAGAUACGGCCCAGACGCCUACGGGAGGCAGCAGUGGGGAAUAUUGCACAAUGGGCGGAAGCCUGAUGCAGCAACGCCGCGUGCGGGAUGACGGCCUUCGGGGUGUAAACCGCUUUCGCCUGUGACGAAGCGUGAGUGACGGUAAUGGGUAAAGAAGCACCGGCUAACUACGUG